RNAcentral lists this ribosomal RNA (753 nucleotides) under uncultured bacterium. Its description in RNAcentral is "bacterial SSU rRNA". It matches the Rfam family "Bacterial small subunit ribosomal RNA", at positions 28 to 776 of the family's 1533-position model. The record is from RNAcentral.
GAUGAACGCUAGCGGCAGGCUUAACACAUGCAAGUCGAGGGGUAACACGGGUGCUUGCACUUGGUGACGACCGGCGAACGGGUGCGUAACGCGUAUAGAAUCUGCCUCAUACAGGAGGAUAGCCUUUAGAAAUGAAGAUUAAUACUCCAUGGUCUUAUUGGUUGGCAUCAAUUAAUAAGUAAAGAUUUAUUGGUAUGAGAUGACUAUGCGUCCUAUUAGUUAGUUGGUGAGGUAACGGCUCACCAAGACAGCGAUAGGUAGGGGGUCUGAGAGGAUUAUCCCCCACACUGGUACUGAGACACGGACCAGACUCCUACGGGAGGCAGCAGUGAGGAAUAUUGGACAAUGGGUGAGAGCCUGAUCCAGCCAUGCCGCGUGCAGGAAGACUGCCCUAUGGGUUGUAAACUGCUUUUAUACAAGAAGAAACCUACUUACGUGUAAGUAGCUGAUGGUAUUGUAUGAAUAAGCACCGGCUAACUCCGUGCCAGCAGCCGCGGUAAUACGGAGGGUGCAAGCGUUAUCCGGAAUCAUUGGGUUUAAAGGGUCCGCAGGCGGUCGAUUAAGUCAGAGGUGAAAUCUCACAGCUUAACUGUGAAACUGCCUUUGAUACUGGUUGACUUGAGUUAUAUGGAAGUAGAUAGAAUAAGUAGUGUAGCGGUGAAAUGCAUAGAUAUUACUUAGAAUACCGAUUGCGAAGGCAGUCUACUACGUAUUGACUGACGCUCAUGGACGAAAGCGUGGGGAGCGAACAGG